RNAcentral lists this long non-coding RNA (674 nucleotides) under Setaria viridis. RNAcentral describes it as "long non-coding RNA (SVIR_LNC003679)". Lineage: Eukaryota; Viridiplantae; Streptophyta; Magnoliopsida; Poales; Poaceae. The record is from RNAcentral.
UAACAUCUAGCCCUGUUACGACGAUGAGCAUGCCCCUUCACUUACAUCAAUAAGCAGUUCAGCUCCCAUUUUCAGUUGCGAGGAAUGCACUGAAAGUUUUAUUGAUGGCACAACAUGGAAAAAUAAGUAUUCUUGUAGUCAUUGGGUGGUGAAAAUUUUUUUCCCCUUGAUAUUUAAUAAAGAAAACAAUAAGGGCCCAGACAGAUACUGAUUACUAUGGAUACAAACGAUCCAUUUAUUUUUCACAAUCAAUAUUAUAGCAUUCUUAUUACAUUUCGUGAUUUGCCGUUAGCCCUGUAGAACCCCUUUGUUGCUCCUUAGUACAUCAACUCCCUCUCAGUUCGAAUGCCCGAAUAUAAUAACAACCCCCCGGCACCCACCACCCAUUCACAGACAUUUGACAAGCUUCAACUCCCAAAGGACACUGUCUCCACCUCAUUACUGAAUCAUAUGCCAGGAUAUAGGAGCCUAGGAGUGAGAGGAAUCAGUGAGUUUACCAGAACAUGCAAAUUUGAGAUGGAUUUGUGCCGCUCUCAAUUUGCUACACUGUUCUCUUCAAGACCAUGUGUUCUCUCAACUUGCAUGUGUGUUCAUAGCAUCUACGCAUUGGUUGUCACCAUCUAUGGUAACCAUGACGGGUGGUGUACGAUGGCUCUGCAAGACCAAUAGAAGGC